AAUGAACAGAUAAAUAGAAUGAAAGACAAAUAGCUUUGCCUGCUAGAAAGUUCUACAGCGACUGUGAUUGACCAUGUUCUUGUCCAUGGUAUGAGCAUGAGGGAGGCCGGACAAAGGCUACAACCAAACAUCAGUAGAUUCACUGUGUCCACCAUAAUCCCAAGAUUUAGAGAAGCGAACAGAAUUGAAAGACUGCCACAUGGGGGUGGGAGGACAGGUAUGUUCUCCCCACACCAAGAGACCCUAAUUGUUGCUAUGGUCCGUGAGAACAACGCCAUUAAACUGAGUGAAAUUCAGCAGAAGAUCAUUGAGGACCAUGUCAAUUUUGAGGGUAUCAACAGUGUCAGCCUCUCUACUGUUGAUCAUGUCCUCAAGUGCAACAGACUGCGCAUGAAACAGCUGUACUGAAUGCCCUUUGAUCGCAACUCAGACAGAGUCAAAGAGCAAAGAUUCCAGUAUGUACAGAGGGUUUUUCAACUGGAUGCAAUGGAAAGACCCCAUGAAUACAUCUACAUGGAUGAAGCUGGGUGUAAUCUCACCAAAAGGAGAAGGAGAGGCCGUAAUGUGAUUGGCCAUCGGGCCAUUGUUGGUGUCCCUGGGCAGCGUGGUGGCAAUGUCACAUUAUGUGCUGCCAUCAGCAAUCGUGGGGUUGUCCACCAUCAUGCCAACCUGGGGCCCUACAACACUCACCAGCUCCUCAUUUUCCUCAAUCACAUGCGAGAUGCUCUGUUAGGGCAGCAGGAUGAGCAUCACAUCUAUGUUGUUGUUGUUUGGGACAAUGUGAGUUUUCACAGAGCCCUCCAAGUUAGAGAGUGGUUCAAUAUGAACCAAGGUUUUAUCAAUCUUUGCCUUCCACCGUACUCCCCUUUCCUAAACCCCAUUGAGGAAUUCUUCUCCUCAUGGCGGUGGAAGGUAUAUAAACGCCAACCUUACACCAGGGCAAAUCUCCUGCAAGCCAUGGAACCUGCCUGUGGUGACAUAGGUGUUGACAUAAGCCUGGAUACGGCAUGCCAGAGGUUUUUUCCCCUGUUGCCUGGCCAGACAAAAUGUGGCCUGUGAUGUGGAUGAAGUCCUGUGGCCUGACCCAGUACAGAGACAUGAUGAUGUGGCUGAGUAAUGCACUUAUUUGUAUAUUUGUGUACUUUAUUUUUACAUGGGCUUACUGUACACAAAUGGCAAAUGCAUAAGAUUUCUGUUUGUUUUUACAAGUGCUAAAUGCACAGGUUUUUUGUUUUGCAACAAACAUUUAUUUCUCCAGCUUCAUGUCCUGAGCAUUGUGUUUUCUAUUUUUCUAUGUAGUGUUUAGCGACUUUUCAGUAGUGUUUUUAAUUUUGAUUGACUUGGGACACGAUUUGACAACAUAGUUCAGUUUUGAGCACAGAUUGAACUGUUUUGAGGUGAAAGUUUGGUUUUACAAGAAGAGUCUAAGGUUUUGUGAAUGUAGCUUGAAAAUUGGGUUUUGUGUUCAGUUUAGAAAAACUGUAAUAGGUACACCAUUUCCAGUGCAUAACAUGUUGGAGGGAUUAUUGGCAAACAAAAUUUGGAAAUAAUAAAAAUAGUUGUAAUUCAACCUUUAUUUACAGAUUUUAAUGACUUCUGUGUCAGAUUUUAAACAGUUUUGAAAAGUCCCGACACAACGUAGUCUGUCGCGUCUCCAUCGAUGAGGCCAGUUCCGUUAUUGUGAACGAACCAGCAGGGAACAUUUUCCCCAUUCUUCAUGUCCCUCCUGAAGUCUCUCUGCCAGCCUCUGUGGACCGAGGAGUGAGACCUUAUUCAUUCUGGACACACACAUUUAUCUAAUGCAGUAUUUCCCAAACUGUCCACGUGAGGAGCCACUUUUUAAAGAUGGCAAACCAUUCCAAAUCAAAACAUACUGUAAGUCUAAUAUCAUUUUAAUCAACACCAUCUGCAUUAAAACUUCAUUUCUGCAUGUUAUUUAAUAAUUAAGUGAGAUUAAAGUCCUACCUGGUCACAUUGAGCUGCUGUCCCUUCACAAACAUGGUGGCGUCCGGUUUCUCUGGGACUUCACCUGGACGCAGCUCAGACACCUCAUAUUCAAUCCCAUGGUAGAACUGACCUGUAGGACGCAACAUUUACAGGAAAUAUUAUUAUUUUUAAAUAUGAUCAUUGUGACUCUACAACUCUCCACCUUUCGAGCACAAGUAAAUGACAAUAUUCUCUCGCUGUAAGCGUUUAAAGGGAAACUACAUGUGUAACAUUUGGUAGGGUGUAUUGGCAGAAAUUGAAUCUACUACCCUUCUUUAAAAAAUACUGUAGACAAGGUUCUUGCUUUAUUGAGGCCACCAUCUUGCACCGCCAUGUUUCUAAAGUCGCCCAAACAGACAAACCAGCCAGAGUGUGCUUUAGUAUUUAAAGCAGAAACUUGCUACCCUAACAAAGGUUUAACAUCUUUUUUAGGCUAAGGCCACAGGAGUUUACUGACGUGCUUGGGAAAGGGACGUCAGGAUACUCAGGAUAUCUCUUGAGCAGCUAUAAUCCUAAAACCAUGUGAUCUACUUCCGGCUAAGUGUGUCAUGUUUGUACCCAGCAGGCCGUGAACAGCAGGGGAGAGGAGAUGACUGUCCAAGGUGUAGAAACCUAAAUAGUCCCGAUGGUACGGAUGCUUCUCCCACACUUUGUGUAGCAGGAUGACAAACUUGACUGAAUCUUUCAGAGUCACCAUCAGGCUGCGGUCCUUGGUCACAAGAAGAUCCACACUGUGGGAGGAGGAGGAGGAGAUUAUUCUCAACUGGACUUGACGUUUCACUUUAUUCAUGUUAAAGGAAAUGUUUCUCUCACUAAGAGAGAAAGAAAACCGUGUGAUGGUGCAGCCGCUCACUUGAGUCCUUUGAGAGAGGCCGAGUCCGACCACAGCAGUUUGACCCAUUUGCUGUCCUGGAACACUGAGAUGUCACGAGUGUUCACCUCCAGCCUCACCCCCAGAGUCUGGUGGACGAUGCCAAAGCGCCAGAAAUACGUGUUCAUUUUACCAUCAGGAGGGAUUUUCUUGUCUCCAAUUAUCUGGCCAUUGACCAAAAUACCUGAGGGAAACAACAUGUUCAGUCAGUCACUGUUAAUAAGUAGCACAUACAUGUACAAACAUUGGUCAGUAAGAAGUAGACCAGGUUGUACUAACUGUUAACAAAGUCUUGAUGAUGAUCAGGACUCAGGACUGACCUGAUUGUGGGUCUGUAACCAGAGAGAAAAUGGUUCCUGGUCUGUCGUUAAUGUUGAAGCACAGAGCGUCUUCUUUCUCUGGCAGCUCUAUCAUGAAAUGAGGAUCUCCAUCCAC
This is a long non-coding RNA of Solea solea (common sole), 3292 nucleotides long. RefSeq lists it as uncharacterized. Lineage: Eukaryota; Metazoa; Chordata; Actinopteri; Pleuronectiformes; Soleidae. The record is from RefSeq and is a predicted model, not a curated record. The transcript has 3 exons.